Molecule: long non-coding RNA, 1208 nt
Organism: Sarcophilus harrisii (Tasmanian devil)
Lineage: Eukaryota; Metazoa; Chordata; Mammalia; Dasyuromorphia; Dasyuridae
Exons: 8
Source: RefSeq, a predicted model, not a curated record
UGAAAAAGACAACAUCAAAGAGUAUGUGGUGAGAAAGAGUCUCAUUAAUGUAGGCAAAGGAGCCAUUCGAAUUGUAGCAUAUAUGAUGACAUUGGUCCUGGAACUUUCUUCUGACAACAUGCCCUUUAUUCUCAUAUUCUAUUUUUUACCUGUCAUCUCCACUAUAGUAGACUGAGGGUUGUUUAUAGAGUAUCUUGGUAUUGGAUUAAGACUCUUGCUUUUAAUAUACAUCAAAGCUGGAAAAAAUGAUCUAUGUUCAAUUUAUCAAUCCAAAAAAAUACCAAUUACCCUAAAAUCACUAAAAAAAGGUGUUCUUACAAGCAUGUGGCAAGACAUAAGGAAGACUAGUAAGAAAGCUUUUACAAUAGUCCAAGUAAAGAUAAUGAAUUAAGCAAAGAAAAGACUAAGUUUGUGGGAAAUGAGAAGUUUUUUCAUGGAAAAUUCAAUAUAAUGAAAGUUAAUUCACUUCAAUUUAACUAUGUGAAGACCAGCCAAGUAUGAAUGUGCAGUUGAAGCAAUAUAAGCACUAACAGCAAAUGUGGAAAGAUCAUCACAAAAGUGCUGAUGUGAUGCUAAUGUGACCACUGACCUGAGGAACUUGUAAACUUGUGAGUUUGGUGAGAGUUAAAGAGUUUUUCAAAGAUAACAGCAUAUGUAAUUCUAUCAAGAUACUACUCCUCCAACCAACUUUUGUUCAGUGAAUUUCCCAACCCCUUCUAGAACUGCUGAAGGACCAAGGACAUUCACAGGUGGAAGGGGACAUGAUGUCUGUUGGGGCUGAUCCAGCAGUGGCUCCCGAAUGGAACAAGGACUCGUCUUCCUCUCCAAAUGUGAAAGUUGGGGGAAGGAAUUAUACCUCGGAGCUUCUCUGGAGCCUGGGAGUGAUCAGGAAGUAUAUCCGGUGGUGUCUAAAAAAGAUAUUCCACUGAAGGAAACAAAAUAUGCCAUUGAAGGAAUAGGCUUGAAUACUUUACCCCAAGUUGAUGAAUGAGGUUCUACACAAAUGACAUUCUUUAGUGUGAAAUAGUAAUGAACCAUAAGAUAUAGAAUCAUUUUCUUCAGCCCUGAACCACAGACCUGAUUGCUCCCUCAGGUUAAGAAAGAAGAAAAAAAGAACAGUUCAGCAAAACCAGCCAAUAUGCUGACAACAUGUAUGCAAUGAUUUACAGCCAUAAUCAAUCAAUCAAUAAAACAUUAAGUGCUCACUA